This 301-nucleotide ribosomal RNA is filed under the name uncultured bacterium. Its description in RNAcentral is "partial 16S ribosomal RNA". It matches the Rfam family "Bacterial small subunit ribosomal RNA", at positions 509 to 809 of the family's 1533-position model. The record is from RNAcentral.
CAGUAGCCGCGGUAAUACGAGGGGAGCUAGCGUUGUUCGGAAUUACUGGGCGUAAAGCGCGCGUAGGCGGCUUUUUAAGUCAGAGGUGAAAGCCCGGGGCUCAACCCCGGAAUUGCCUUUGAAACUGGAAAGCUAGAAUCUUGGAGAGGUCAGUGGAAUUCCGAGUGUAGAGGUGAAAUUCGUAGAUAUUCGGAAGAACACCAGUGGCGAAGGCGACUGACUGGACAAGUAUUGACGCUGAGGUGCGAAAGCGUGGGGAGCAAACAGGAUUAGAUACCCGUGUAGUCCCUGUCUCUUAUAA